AUGGCAAGAACAUUAGAAAGCAAGCAAACCAUCAACGAUCUUGAUCUCCUUUUGACAAGAAAUCUGUCGGUCCUGUAUUACAUUCUUGAUUGGCCCACCAAGCCAAAUUCAAACCUAGUUAUUAUAGGUAUAGCAAACACAAUGGAUCAUCCAGAGAAACUAUUGCCGCGUAUCUCAAGUAGGAUGGGUAUUCAGCGGCUGUGUUUUGGCCCCUAUAAUCAUCGGCAACUGCAGGAAAUCAUAACAAGCCGUCUUAAGGGUAUCGAUGCCUUUGAACAUCAAGCUAUCGAGUUUGCUUCUAGAAAGUGA
RNAcentral lists this ribosomal RNA (309 nucleotides) under Triticum aestivum (bread wheat). RNAcentral describes it as "partial small subunit ribosomal RNA". Lineage: Eukaryota; Viridiplantae; Streptophyta; Magnoliopsida; Poales; Poaceae. The record is from RNAcentral.